GCAAACUUGGUCAUUUAGAGGAAGUACAAGUCGUAACAAGGUUUCCGUAGGUGAACCUGCGGAAGGAUCAUUAACAAAUCGUAUUUGUAUGAUGUGUGAAUGUGUUUGUUUGCACACGUACAAUAUAUAUGUGCGCCAGCUGUGCUGGAAUGCAUUUAUUAUUCAUGAUAUAGUGUGAAAAUUGUGUAGUGUGAAUACUAUCUAAACAUACUUUUAACAAUGGAUCUCUUGGCUCUUGCAUCGAUGAAGAACGCAGC
RNAcentral lists this unclassified non-coding RNA (257 nucleotides) under uncultured fungus. RNAcentral's name for it is "partial contains small subunit ribosomal RNA, internal transcribed spacer 1, and 5.8S ribosomal RNA". The stretch from base 1 to 73 matches the Rfam family "Eukaryotic small subunit ribosomal RNA", at positions 1759 to 1831 of the family's 1831-position model. The record is from RNAcentral. Lineage: Eukaryota; Fungi.